Molecule: ribosomal RNA, 273 nt
Filed under: uncultured bacterium
Lineage: Bacteria
Description: partial 16S ribosomal RNA
Rfam family: Bacterial small subunit ribosomal RNA
Source: RNAcentral
UUGAGUGGCGGACCGGCGCGACGGUGGGUAACGCGUAUCCAACCUGCCCUUUACUAUGGGACAGCCCGUCGAAAGGCGGAUUAAUACCGUAUGUUGUCAUGUUGAUGCAUAUUUUCAUGACCAAAGGCUUCGGCCGGUAAAGGAUGGGGAUGCGUCUGAUUAGCUUGCCGGCGGGGUAACGGCCCACCGGGGCGACGAUCAGUAGGGGUUCUGAGAGGAAGGUCCCCCACAUUGGAACUGAGACACGGUCCAAACUCCUACGGAAGGCAGCAG